UGGUGUUAUUUUUAUUGUUAGGUAAUAACUAAUGAUAGAGACACUUCAAAGUCAACUAAUGUUAUUAUUUCCAGACAUGAGCCAACAAGUCAUGCAAGGUGACUCCCAAGUUUUUGGUGAAGAUUGACUUUGAAACUCAAACAAGGAUCAGGAUUCUGCUAGAAGUUUAAUCACUGAAUUUAUCAACUAGGAUUUGCGAUUGUUAGGAUUUUACAAAGUUUCCUUCUUCAUUUUAAGUUUGAGUAGUAGGAUCUUACGUAUACUCCAAUAAUGUUUCUUGUUUAGAGAUUUCCUAUUUCAAUUAGGAGUAGAACUUUUAGAGGGUCUACAAAGAUAGUUAUAAUUUUUACUUUUCAAUAGAGUUGGUAAUUUAUUGAACUUGGUAAGUGUUUACUUCGCA
Long non-coding RNA from Eucalyptus grandis, 400 nucleotides. RefSeq lists it as uncharacterized. The transcript is spliced from 2 exons. NCBI's taxonomy places the organism in Eukaryota, Viridiplantae, Streptophyta, Magnoliopsida, Myrtales, Myrtaceae. The record is from RefSeq and is a predicted model, not a curated record.